This 214-nucleotide ribosomal RNA is filed under the name Clostridioides difficile. Its description in RNAcentral is "partial 23S ribosomal RNA". It matches the Rfam family "Bacterial large subunit ribosomal RNA", at positions 2184 to 2396 of the family's 2925-position model. Lineage: Bacteria; Bacillati; Bacillota; Clostridia; Peptostreptococcales; Peptostreptococcaceae. The record is from RNAcentral.
AGCCAUCCUUGGGAUACCACCCUUGUAGUACUGGGACUCUAACCAUAGGCCAUGAAUCUGGUCUUGGGACACUGUCAGGUGGGCAGCUUGACUGGGGCGGUCGCCUCCCAAAAGGUAACGGAGGCGCCCAAAGGUUCUCUCAGUACGGUCGGAAAUCGUACGUAGAGUGUAAAGGCAAAAGAGAGCUUGAUUGCAAGACAUACAGGUCGAGCAA